Molecule: ribosomal RNA, 475 nt
Filed under: uncultured bacterium
Lineage: Bacteria
Description: bacterial SSU rRNA
Rfam family: Bacterial small subunit ribosomal RNA
Source: RNAcentral
GACGACGCUGGCGGCGUGCCUCAAACAUGCAAGUCGAGCGAGGUGAAACCGAACCGCAAGGUGAGGUUGAACCUAGCGGCGAACGGGUGAGUAACACGUGGGUAACCUGCCUGGAAGAUCGGGAUAACGGCUCGAAAGAGUCGCUAAUACCGGAUAAUGUCCUGGUGCUGCAUGGCACCGGGAAGAAAGGGGAAACCCGCUUUCAGAUCGGGCCCGCGCCCCAUCAGCUAGUUGGUAAGGUAACGGCUUACCAAGGCGACGACGGGUAGCCGGUCUGAGAGGACGAUCGGCCACACUGGGACUGAGAUACGGCCCAGACUCCUACGGGAGGCAGCAGUUGGGAAUCUUAGGCAAUGGGCGAAAGCCUGACCUAGCGACGCCGCGUGAGGGAAGAAGGCCUUCGGGUCGUAAACCUCUGUCAUGGGGGACGAAGAAAGUGACGGUACCCCAGGAGGAAGCCCCUGCUAACUACGUG